RNAcentral lists this transfer RNA (76 nucleotides) under Microcoleus asticus IPMA8. RNAcentral describes it as "tRNA-Leu". It matches the Rfam family "tRNA". Rfam says of the family: Transfer RNA (tRNA) molecules are approximately 80 nucleotides in length. Their secondary structure includes four short double-helical elements and three loops (D, anti-codon, and T loops). Further hydrogen bonds mediate the characteristic L-shaped molecular structure. tRNAs have two regions of fundamental functional importance: the anti-codon, which is responsible for specific mRNA codon recognition, and the 3' end, to which the tRNAs corresponding amino acid is attached (by aminoacyl-tRNA synthetases). tRNAs cope with the degeneracy of the genetic code in two manners: having more than one tRNA (with a specific anti-codon) for a particular amino acid; and 'wobble' base-pairing, i.e. permitting non-standard base-pairing at the 3rd anti-codon position. Lineage: Bacteria; Bacillati; Cyanobacteriota; Cyanophyceae; Oscillatoriales; Microcoleaceae. The record is from RNAcentral.
UGCCCCUGUAGCCCAAUCGGUAGAGGCGCUAGAUUUAGGAUCUAGUUAGUGCUGGUUCGAUGCCAGUCAGGGGUAU